GGAACCCCAGGGAAACCGAAAGUACUGUAACCUCUGGGUUGGCCUUGCGGGGGGCGGGGCUGAAGGUGUGGUCGCGCCCUAAACCUGGACGAAGGUGGCUACCUAAACGUCUCCUGGGAGCCAAAAGAGCAAAUCAGACCAAAUCUCUUCAAAUAACUGACUGACCUUCAGAGUGAUGGUCCUCUCAGCUUGACUGAAUGUACUCUCCUUCUACAGGACAAGUUAGGUAGGGAGAUUCCUUUUUCCAGAAACUGCAAAACCUAUUACGCACUACUAGGCUACCAUUUGAUUAUAAGGGACGCUGAAUUUCAAUUAUUUCAUCCUUGGAGACUAAGAAUUACUUACAAUAUUAAUAAGCAAUUUUUCUUUGAGUUUCCUGGCCUUCGGGUCAGACAUUCAACUUUUA
Sapajus apella (tufted capuchin) is the source of this 406-nucleotide long non-coding RNA. RefSeq lists it as uncharacterized. The transcript is spliced from 2 exons. The record is from RefSeq and is a predicted model, not a curated record. Lineage: Eukaryota; Metazoa; Chordata; Mammalia; Primates; Cebidae.